Molecule: small RNA, 28 nt
Filed under: Bombyx mori (domestic silkworm)
Lineage: Eukaryota; Metazoa; Arthropoda; Insecta; Lepidoptera; Bombycidae
Description: ovarian small RNA-15509
Source: RNAcentral
GACCUCGUUAUUUGCGCCUACGUAAGGU